GACGAACGCUGGCGGCGUGCUUAACACAUGCAAGUCGAACGAUGAAGCCUAGCUUGCUAGGUGGAUUAGUGGCGAACGGGUGAGUAAUACGUGAGUGACCUACCUUUGACCCUGGGAUAAGCCUGGGAAACUGGGUCUAAUACCGGAUACGACCAAUCUCCGCAUGGGGUGUUGGUGGAAAGCGUUAUGGAGUGGUUUUAGAUGGGCUCACGGCCUAUCAGCUUGUUGGUGAGGUAAUGGCUUACCAAGGCGACGACGGGUAGCCGGCCUGAGAGGGUGACCGGCCACACUGGGACUGAGACACGGCCCAGACUCCUACGGGAGGCAGCAGUGGGGAAUAUUGCACAAUGGGCGCAAGCCUGAUGCAGCGACGCCGCGUGAGGGAUGACGGCCUUCGGGUUGUAAACCUCUGUUAGCAUCGAAGAAGCGAAAGUGACGGAGGGCAGAGAAAGCGC
Molecule: ribosomal RNA, 455 nt
Filed under: Rothia dentocariosa
Lineage: Bacteria; Bacillati; Actinomycetota; Actinomycetes; Micrococcales; Micrococcaceae
Description: bacterial SSU rRNA
Rfam family: Bacterial small subunit ribosomal RNA
Source: RNAcentral